Molecule: ribosomal RNA, 440 nt
Filed under: uncultured bacterium
Lineage: Bacteria
Description: partial 16S ribosomal RNA
Rfam family: Bacterial small subunit ribosomal RNA
Source: RNAcentral
CCUACGGGGGGCAGCAGUGGGGAAUAUUGCACAAUGGGGGAAACCCUGAUGCAGCGACGCCGCGUGAGCGAUGAAGUAUUUCGGUAUGUAAAGCUCUAUCAUCAGGGAAGAAAAUGACGGUACCUGAUUAAGAAGCCUCGGCUAACUACGUGCCAGCAGCCGCGGUCAUACGUAGGGGGCAAGCGUUAUCCGGAUUUACUGGGUGUAAAGGGAGCGUGGACGGAGGUGCAAGCGAGAUGUAAAAGGCCGGGGCUAAACCCCCAGACUGCAUUUGGAACUGUGUUGCUAGAGUGUCGGAGGGGCAAGCGGAAUUCCUAGUGUAGGGGUGAAAUGCGUAGAUAUUAGAAGGAACACCAGUGGCGUAGGCAGGCUGCUGGGCGGGGACUGACGUUGAGGCUCGAAAGCGUAGGGAGCAAACGGGAUUAGAUACCCGGGUAGUC